Molecule: ribosomal RNA, 253 nt
Filed under: uncultured bacterium
Lineage: Bacteria
Description: partial 16S ribosomal RNA
Rfam family: Bacterial small subunit ribosomal RNA
Source: RNAcentral
UACGUAGGGCGCAAGCGUUAUCCGGAAUUAUUGGGCGUAAAGAGCUCGUAGGCGGUUUGUCGCGUCUGCCGUGAAAGUCCGGGGCUCAACUCCGGAUCUGCGGUGGGUACGGGCAGACUAGAGUGAUGUAGGGGAGACUGGAAUUCCUGGUGUAGCGGUGAAAUGCGCAGAUAUCAGGAGGAACACCGGUGGCGAAGGCGGGUCUCUGGGCCGAUACUGACGCUGUGGAGCGAAAGCGUGGGGAGCGAACAGG